CAAUAGCGUAUAUUAAAGUUGUUGCAGUUAAAAAGCUCGUAGUUGGAUUUCUGAUCGAGACAUCAGGUCGGGUCCGAGAGGAUCAUGUACUUUGAUUUGUUUUGAUCAUCCUUGGGGAGAGCAUUUCUGGCAUUCAGUUGUCGGGAUUGGGAUCCUCAUCGUUUACUGUGAAAAAAUUAGAGUGUUCAAAGCAGGCCUCGGCCUCUGAAUACAUUAGCAUGGAAUAAUAAGAUAGGACUUUGGUGGUCUAUUUUGUUGGUUUGCACGCCAAAGUAAUGAUUAAUAGGGAUAGUUGGGGGUAUUCGUAUUCAAUUGUCAGAGGUGAAAUUCUUGGAUUUAUGGAAGACGAACUACUGCGAAAGCAUUUGCCAAGGAUGUUUUCAUUAA
RNAcentral lists this ribosomal RNA (387 nucleotides) under uncultured eukaryote. RNAcentral's name for it is "partial 18S ribosomal RNA". It matches the Rfam family "Eukaryotic small subunit ribosomal RNA", at positions 592 to 976 of the family's 1831-position model. The record is from RNAcentral.